This 30-nucleotide non-coding RNA is filed under the name Mus musculus (house mouse). The record is from RNAcentral. Lineage: Eukaryota; Metazoa; Chordata; Mammalia; Rodentia; Muridae.
UAUACAUGUCAAUGACACGUCUGUGUUACA